AACGAACGCUGGCGGCAUGCCUAACACAUGCAAGUUGAACAAGACCUUCGGGUCUAGUGGCGCACGGGUGCGUAACGCGUGGGAACCUGCCCUUAGGUUCGGAAUAACUCCCCGAAAGGGGUGCUAAUACCGGAUAAUGUCUUCGGACCAAAGAUUUAUCGCCUUUGGAUGGGCCCGCGUUGGAUUAGCUAGUUGGUAGGGUAAAAGCCUACCAAGGCGACGAUCCAUAGCUGGUCUGAGAGGAUGAUCAGCCACACUGGGACUGAGACACGGCCCAGACUCCUACGGGAGGCAGCAGUGGGGAAUAUUGGACAAUGGGCGAAAGCCUGAUCCAGCAAUGCCGCGUGAGUGAUGAAGGCCUUAGGGUUGUAAAGCUCUUUUACCCGGGAUGAUAAUGACAGUACCGGGAGAAUAAGCUCCGGCUAACUCCGUG
RNAcentral lists this ribosomal RNA (433 nucleotides) under uncultured bacterium. RNAcentral's name for it is "partial 16S ribosomal RNA". It matches the Rfam family "Bacterial small subunit ribosomal RNA", at positions 29 to 507 of the family's 1533-position model. The record is from RNAcentral.